UGGGGAAUAUUGGACAAUGGACCAAGAGUCUGAUCCAGCAAUUCUGUGUGCACGAUGAAGUUUUUCGGAAUGUAAAGUGCUUUCAGUUGGGAAGAAAGAAAUGACGGUACCAACAGAAGAAGUGACGGCUAAAUACGUGCCAGCAGCCGCGGUAAUACGUAUGUCACAAGCGUUAUCCGGAUUUAUUGGGCGUAAAGUGCGUCUAGGUGGUUAUGUAAGUCUGAUGUGAAAAUGCAGGGCUCAACUCUGUAUUGCGUUGGAAACUGUAUAACUAGAGUACUGGAGAGGUAAGCGGAACUACAAGUGUAGAGGUGAAAUUCGUAGAUAUUUGUAGGAAUGCCGAUGGGGAAGCCAGCUUACUGGACAGAUACUGACGCUGAAGCGCGAAAGCGUGGGUAGCAAACAGGAUUAGAUACCCUGGUAGUCCAUGCCGUAAACGAUGAUUACUAGGUGUUGGGGGUCGAACCUCAGCGCCCAAGCAAACGCGAUAAGUAAUCCGCCUGGGGAGUACGUACGCAAGUAUG
Molecule: ribosomal RNA, 524 nt
Filed under: uncultured bacterium
Lineage: Bacteria
Description: bacterial SSU rRNA
Rfam family: Bacterial small subunit ribosomal RNA
Source: RNAcentral